GCGGGCGUAGCUCAGUGGUAGAGCUUCUGCCUUCCAAGCAGAAUGUCGUGGGUUCGAAUCCCAUCGCCCGCUCCA
Molecule: transfer RNA, 75 nt
Filed under: Planctomycetaceae bacterium
Lineage: Bacteria; Pseudomonadati; Planctomycetota; Planctomycetia; Planctomycetales; Planctomycetaceae
Also listed under: 1 other name
Description: tRNA-Gly
Rfam family: tRNA
About the family: Transfer RNA (tRNA) molecules are approximately 80 nucleotides in length.
Source: RNAcentral